RNAcentral lists this ribosomal RNA (781 nucleotides) under uncultured marine archaeon. Its description in RNAcentral is "bacterial SSU rRNA". It matches the Rfam family "Archaeal small subunit ribosomal RNA", at positions 25 to 810 of the family's 1478-position model. The record is from RNAcentral.
UACCGCUAUUGGAGUUCGAUUAAGCCAUGCGAGUCGCGAGAAAUUAGAUUCUCGGCGUACCGCUCAGUAACACGUGGGUAACCUGCCCUAUGCUGGAUAAUAACCUCGGGAAACUGAGUAUAAUGAUCCAUAGUUCACUACGCCUGGAACGGUGAGUGGACGAAAGCUCCGGCGGCAUAGGAUGGGCCUGCGGCGUAUCAGGUUGUAGGGGGUGUAACGUACCCUCUAGCCCUCUACGCGUACGGGUGUUGGGAGACAUAGCCCGGAGAUGGAUUCUGAGACACGAAUCCAGACCCUACGGGGUGCAGCAGGCGCGAAAACUUGGCAAUGCGAGAAAUCGUGACCAGGGAACUCCAAGUGCAUCGGGUAAGACCGGUGCUUUUCUUGACUCUAAAUAGGUCUUGGAAUAAGGGGUGGGUAAGGACGGUGCCAGCCGCCGCGGUAAUACCGGCGCCUCAAGUGGUAGUCGCUUUUAUUGGGCCUAAAACGUCCGUAGCCGGUCUGAUACAUUCGUGGGUAAAUCAACCAGCUCAACUGGUUGAAUUCUGCGAGGACGGUCAGACUUGGGACCGGGAGAGGUGUGGGGUACGCUCAGGGUAGGGGUAAAAUCCUGUCAUCCCGAGCGGACCACCUGUUGCGAAGGCGCCACACUAGAACGGAUCCGACGGUCAGGGACGAAGCCUAGGGGCACGAACCGGAUUAGAUACCCGGGUAGUCCUAGGUGUAAACGCUGUGGACUUGAUGUUGGGGGUGCUCCGAGCACUCUCAGUGUCGAAGCGAA